CCGGCAAACGGGUGCGGAACACGUACGCAACCUUCCUUUAAGUGUGGGAUAGCCCAGGGAAACUUGGAUUAAUACCACGUAAGAUAGUAGAGUGGCAUCACUUAGCUAUUAUAGCUCCGGCGCUUAAAGAUGGGCGUGCGGCUGAUUAGGUAGUUGGCAGGGUAACGGCCUACCAAGCCUUCGAUCAGUAACUGGUGUGAGAGCACGACCAGUCACACGGGCACUGAGACACGGGCCCGACUCCUACGGGAGGCAGCAGUAAGGAAUAUUGGUCAAUGGACGCAAGUCUGAACCAGCCAUGCCGCGUGAAGGAUGACGGCCCUCUGGGUUGUAAACUUCUUUUAUCUGGGAAGAAACCUGCGAUAUCUAUUGCAGUUGACGGUACCAGGUGAAUAAGCACCGGCUAACUCCGUGCCAGCAGCCGCGGUAAUACGGAGGGUGCAAGCGUUAUCCGGAUUCACUGGGUUUAAAGGGUGCGUAGGCGGGUAUGUAAGUCAGUGGUGAAAUCCCCGAGCUUAACUUGGGAACUGCCGUUGAUACUAUAUAUCUUGAAUAUCGUGUAGGUAAGCGGAAUAUGUCAUGUAGCGGUGAAAUGCAUAGAUAUGACAUGGAACACCAAUUGCGAAGGCAGCUUACUUUACGAUGAUUGACGCUGAGGCACGAAAGCGUGGGUAGCGAACAGGAUUAGAUACCCUGGUAGUCCACGCCCUAAACGAUG
RNAcentral lists this ribosomal RNA (718 nucleotides) under Gynurincola endophyticus. RNAcentral describes it as "bacterial SSU rRNA". It matches the Rfam family "Bacterial small subunit ribosomal RNA", at positions 95 to 811 of the family's 1533-position model. Lineage: Bacteria; Pseudomonadati; Bacteroidota; Chitinophagia; Chitinophagales; Chitinophagaceae. The record is from RNAcentral.